Molecule: long non-coding RNA, 3617 nt
Organism: Pseudopipra pipra
Lineage: Eukaryota; Metazoa; Chordata; Aves; Passeriformes; Pipridae
Exons: 3
Source: RefSeq, a predicted model, not a curated record
AAGACUCCUUAGGUGGUAUAUUCUUCAAGACACGAUUCUUUCUGCGUUGUCUUUUCUCCUCAAGAGUGAUCCUGCGUGCUUUCUCAAAGGAAGCAGCAGUGUUAUAGAUGGUGUGUCUGUAGCCUGUGGUAUUAAUCCCUUGAAGGCAGUGGAUGUGGGCACUGAUGUCUGUAAUCAAUCUGACACUGAAUUCAGUGAUAGUGUGUUUUUUACAAUCCAUAUGUAGAUACUCAGUUCCCAAAUUUUAGGUCUUGACCCGUGUUUCUUUUCUAAGUUUCUUUUGAGUUGAGCAAUGGAAAAACACUAGACAGCCUCUCUUUCUUCUAAUAUGCAUCAUGCCUGGCUUGUGCAGCAGCACUAUGCCACAAGUUUGUUCCGCAGGUACUACUUCUGUCUUAAAUUAAGUUGUUUCCAUUGCAAUAUUUCUUAAUGGAAACAUUCUAUCAUGGUUAAGUCAAUAACAAGUUAUUUGACACAGAGCCUAACAUUUGAGCUAAACAUACCAGGAACCCUUUAAACUUACUUUAUCUCACUUGUUUGCAACUCUUCAGUGGGAGAGAUUUCCUUUUAUCUCACUCACCAGUUUGCUCAAGAGCAGGAGAUGUCUUUCCAGCUAGAGAAAACAGUGCAGUUGCUGUUGACUGGGAGGACAGUUGUUCUGUGUGCUCAUACUGAUUUUAUGUGGGACAUCUCAUUGUACUUGGGGGCAGUUUUGUUAUUUUAAAUUAUAAAGGAGUUUAGUUCUCUUAGAGUGUCCAGAUUCAACUCCUUUGUCAAUGUGAUGUACUUCAUUAUUCUCAUCAGCUCAUUUACUUUUCCUGAUGGAGAAAAAAGCUGAACCUCAUUUCACUUUAUAAAAGUCAGGAUUCUUUCUAAUAGAGCUUCUAUUUAGCCAGUGCUGUGAAAGGUGUUCUUUCCGCUGUACAUGUAUGUGCUGAAGAACACAUCUGCUCCUCCUGUAAUUUUUUCAAUAGUACCUUUUUUCUGAGAUUAAAAGGAUCCACCCCCAAGUCCCGGACUGACAGCCAUGCUCCUGAAGGAGAAAUUACCCUUUUAAGAGAUCCCCAAGAGCUAUAGCCAACCACAGCAUACUGUAGAUGUUACACUUUUUGUACAUUGCAUCCUUGCCAAUAUUUGAAUACAAGCCAUAAUUCAGUGGGAGCAUAAAUAACUUCCAUUCAGAGAGACGGAUGCUGUGGUAUCAGGCCAAAUGGUAAGCCUUGUCAGUGCCUGCAUUUUCACUUUAUCGACCACACAGCAUAAUAUGAUGCUCCUUAUUUAAAUCCUUCAUGCAGAUGUCGUACUGGGUUGAUUGACAAGCAACUGGAUGUGAUAAUGUGUAUAAGGCUGUAGCAACCAUUGACUCUUGGGAUAGUGUGGAUGUGCGUGUAGUGAUCAUGGAGUUAUGAUUCUCAGUGGUGGGAUAUGAAAAGUCUGUGGGUCACAAUGUAAAUUUAAGCUGCUGAGGGGUGAACAUUAAUUUGCAUGCCAGUUUAGAUUGAUAUAAUAAUUCUUUAUAGGGACAAAGCAUGAUUGGCUGUAAAAGAGUUGUCCUUGUACCUGAAUUGUUUUAGAGCAGCAGACCUUUAUGCUGAGUUAACAGCACGCUGUUAAGAAUCAGUACCAAUGUAAACACAGAGAAUGAUGGCUUUAUGUUGGCCGUUAUGUAAUGCAGUAUUUCACAGUUGUUGAAAUAAUUUCAUUUUCAACCAGGUGGCUUUGUCAGUCUAUCAGCAAAAACUGAGCAAAGUGCAGCACUGAAAAUGAAAUGAAACUUCCAGCUGUCCAGAUACUUAAGUGACGGCACUUCUAUUGAGCUGGAAUUCUGUAACAGCGCUUACUAAUUCCAGCUAAUAUAAUACAAAGUAAUUUGCUGCUUCACUUUUUUGUCUGAAGUUCAUAGUUACAUUGUUAAGCUUUUACAUGAGCUUAUGCCACUCUAAGUCAGAGGGAGCAAGGAAAGGAGGUAAAUAAGAGGGAACAAGGAAAGGAGGUUAAUAAGGCACAGAGAUAGACUGUGAGAUGAGAAUUAGGAAGGAGAAAUAGAGGACGUCAGAAGAGCAAAAGAUGAAGGAAGAAAAGAAAAGGAAAGGAAGAAAAGGAACAGUGUAUCACAAGAGUGGCAAAAACAGGGGACAUGUUACGAGUGAAAAAUAAAAUAGGGGAAAUGAAUAUAGGAGAUGGAAAGAAAAGUAAGAAACAUCUUUCAUUUUUUGUAGGAAUAUUUUAGACUCAUCGGUAGCAAUUCUUGCUGGAGUUCACUGUGUUUGGCUCAUACCUUAGAAACACACUUCUAUAUGAGUUUCCUUCUUUCUUUUUGGCACCUGGCUUGCUCUUGUAUAGGAGUAGGCCUCUAGAGGUCUGAGGAGAAUUGGUUUCUAAUAAAGCUCCUCCAUACCAGAGUUCAAAAGCUCUUCCACAAUGUAGUGCACAAUGAAAAUUGACACCGCCAAACAGCUUUAGUUUCCCUCUUUUCUUUUUUUCUUUUUUUUUCUUAAUUUUAUGCACUUUUUUUGGCACCUGCAUAUCUGACUUUAAUUUUUCUGCUGAAUAUUGAGCAUAUGGUAUGAAGAAGUAAGUUAUAACCAAAUCUAUAUGUUUUUAUAUAUCAAAAACUACAAUGACAUAGGUUUUCGUAAGUUUUUUUUCCUAAUUCUGUGAGAAUAAGCAGAUGUGAGGCGCUUCCUCUAUUAUGAACAUUUAUAUGGGCUAUGUGGUCAGAGGUGCUUAGCAGUGAAUUUGGCUCAGGGCAAGGGAACAACAGCAGUAAUUUGAGGGGUGAUUUACUCCUGUUAACACUUUUCAGAAUUGGCAAUAAAAUCAGUUCAGUGCUCUUAAGAUGGGAAGGGCAGGAUUUUAAGCAAAAUGUGGAAGAUAUAUUAUACAUGUGAAAAGUGGUUGAGUGAAAAACUGUUUAUUAUUAAUACUUUUAAAAAAUCCAUAUAUAUAUUUCCAACAAAUAAAAGAUAAUGAGAGGGCUGCUCCCUUUUCCUAGAAAUGAUUACAUUUUCUUUGCCCUUCUGGUUUGGCUGCUUUUAGGCUAUUGCUUAUGUAAAACAGAACACCUCCUAAGCCGUCGUUUACUAAACAGGAUCUCUGGCUUCUGAUCUCACGCUACACAAGGAGGCAAAUUGUAUUCUGUGUGAGAAGCUUUAAACGUGAACGUAAUGGAAAGGGGAUAUUCAGCGAAACAAAGACACACCUCCAGAAACAACAAAGACAAGUCGAACACUCAGCUGCUGAGGAUUUGCUGACUCAGAGCUCUACAAAACUUACUUGAUCAAGCACCAUCCUUACACAACACAGGAAAAAACAAGUGAUCAGUUCCACUCAAGACUCACAGAGUUCUCUCAGCAAGAGACACAAGAAAGAAAUCCUCAAGAAUGAAAACUGUUGGAUACAGUUGUAUUACCUGGAGCACAGGGAUGGAGGUCCCCUGGAGCCUGGUGGCAUUCCUUGUGACUGAGGUGAUGACAGAAACUAAUUUCUUGCCAUAGUUGAAUGAGACCUAUCUGACGAAAAUGACAGCACCAAUGUCAGUUUAACUGGCACGUAAAUAAUAGAGAUUAUUUCUAUGUUCCUAAAUAAAUAUAUUUUCUUUCCUCCUGGAGAUAUUC